Molecule: long non-coding RNA, 1227 nt
Filed under: Marmota monax (woodchuck)
Lineage: Eukaryota; Metazoa; Chordata; Mammalia; Rodentia; Sciuridae
Source: RNAcentral
AGCAGAGAAGGGGGGAUGUGGGACAACUAAGGAUUUUAUUUUGUUUUGAUUUUUUGUGGUGCUGGGGAUUGAGCACAUGCUCUACCAUGAGCUACACUCCCAGCAUUGCCACUGAGGUGUUAGAAUGCUUUUGAAUAUUGAUGGGAAUGAAUCAGCAGGAGGGGAAGCCAAUGUAGGGGAAGUGGGGAUAGUCUGCAGUAGCAGCUGUGGAGUUGAUUUUGGCUUUGCACAGAAUCAGGGUAGCUUUGUGAUAGCAGAAAGAAACAGGAUAGACAGACAGUUCAGUGCAGAUGCAAGUUGGUUGCUAAAUUGGUGGUACAAAGAUGAGGGAUUUCCUUUGAUCACUUAUGUUUUUUUAAAGUAAAAUGUGAGGAUAGUCAUCAAAAAAUGGAAGGUUGAGAAGGCUGUUUAAGGAGAAGCAAGAAGGUUCUAGAUGAUAUGAAAAUUGAGAAAAUCAGUCUAUGAGACUGCCUUAUAAUAUUUCUAAGUGCUUAUUUGAGAAUUACAGUCAUGAAUUUAAAGUGACACUGGUCCACUUGUUUAUGUGACCUAGCUACGUACAGCAGUUUUGAUACAAGUAUAAAAUUUCUCAGCAAGCAGAUGGAAGUAGAAGGAAGCCAGAGAGUUGGCAUGGGCCAGGGCUCAUUUGGAAUUGAAGAAGAGAUUGUGUGAGAGUCCACAGUAAGACAGCAGGAUGAGAGGUUGUAGGCAGAGUUGCAUGCUCUGAAGUCAGCCAUCAUUUGAUGACAGUGUCAAGGAAAUGACCAUCAACUUGGGAUGGCUAAGGGCAUGGAAGAGAAGAUCCUUGGCAAUGAAGGUGGCAGAGGGUUUGAGAGAAAAAGGAAUAGUGGUAUCACUCCUAGGGAUGUUGAAGUCACUAAGAUAAAAAGGAUGAAGGUAGAAAAGCCAGUGACCUUAGUACUAAAGUCAUCAAGGGAGGCAGAAGGGUGGGCAUGAUUAUGUGGAGAUUAUUAAAUGAGAUAAUUUGUGAAAAAUACUUAACAAAGUAUCUGGCACUCAAGGAGUGGGGGGGAGGCAUGGUUUUUUUAUUAAUAAAAUAAAAGAAAGAUGAAUAGUUAACCAUCUCCAAACUCCUGUAAAGUAGCUCUUGACCUGGUCAAUUUGACUCACUUGCUAUAUCCUCCACUACUAUCUAAAAUGACUAACCACAUUAACAUUUAAGUUCCACCACCACCUAGUACAGCGUGCUCCCUCAGGGCUCUCUCA